This 649-nucleotide ribosomal RNA is filed under the name uncultured bacterium. Its description in RNAcentral is "bacterial SSU rRNA". It matches the Rfam family "Bacterial small subunit ribosomal RNA", at positions 102 to 748 of the family's 1533-position model. The record is from RNAcentral.
ACGGGUGAGUAAUGCUUGGGAAUCUGGCUUAUGGAAGGGGGUAACGACGGGAAACUGUCGCUAAUACCGCGUAGAGUCGAGAGACGAAAGUGUGGAACCUUCGGGCCACAUGCCAUAGGAUGAGCCCAAGUGGGAUUAGGUAGUUGGUGGGGUAAAGGCCUACCAAGCCGACGAUCUCUAGCUGGUCUGAGAGGAUGGCCAGCCACACCGGGACUGAGACACGGCCCGGACUCCUACGGGAGGCAGCAGUGGGGAAUAUUGCGCAAUGGGGGGAACCCUGACGCAGCCAUGCCGCGUGAAUGAAGAAGGCCUUCGGGUUGUAAAGUUCUUUCGGUAUUGAGGAAGGUGAUGUGUUAAUAGCACAUCAAAUUGACGUUAAAUACAGAAGAAGCACCGGCUAACUCCGUGCCCCCCGCCGCGGUAAUACGGAGGGUGCGAGCGUUAAUCGGAAUAACUGGGCGUAAAGGGCACGCAGGCGGACUUUUAAGUGAGGUGUGAAAUCCCCGGGCUUAACCUGGGAAUUGCAUUUCAGACUGGGGGUCUAGAGUACUUUAGGGAGGGGUAGAAUUCCACGUGUAGCGGUGAAAUGCGUAGAGAUGUGGAGGAAUACCGAAGGCGAAGGCAGCCCCUUGGGAAUGUACUGACGCUC